AACGAACGCUGGCGGCAUGCCUAACACAUGCAAGUCGAACGAGACCUUCGGGUCUAGUGGCGCACGGGUGCGUAACGCGUGGGAACCUGCCCUUAGGUUCGGAAUAACUCCCCGAAAGGGGUGCUAAUACCGGAUAAUGUCUUCGGACCAAAGAUUUAUCGCCUUUGGAUGGGCCCGCGUUUGAUUAGCUAGUUGGUAGGGUAAAAGCCUACCAAGGCGACGAUCCAUAGCUGGUCUGAGAGGAUGAUCAGCCACACUGGGACUGAGACACGGCCCAGACUCCUACGGGAGGCAGCAGUGGGGAAUAUUGGACAAUGGGCGAAAGCCUGAUCCAGCAAUGCCGCGUGAGUGAUGAAGGCCUUAGGGUUGUAAAGCUCUUUUACCCGGGAUGAUAAUGACAGUACCGGGAGAAUAAGCUCCGGCUAACUCCGCG
This 433-nucleotide ribosomal RNA is filed under the name uncultured bacterium. RNAcentral's name for it is "partial 16S ribosomal RNA". It matches the Rfam family "Bacterial small subunit ribosomal RNA", at positions 29 to 507 of the family's 1533-position model. The record is from RNAcentral.